This 577-nucleotide long non-coding RNA is filed under the name Homo sapiens (human). RNAcentral describes it as "novel transcript". Lineage: Eukaryota; Metazoa; Chordata; Mammalia; Primates; Hominidae. The record is from RNAcentral.
AAAACCGGAGAGGCGCAUCUUGCCGGCUACGGUUGAAACCCGUUCACUGGGUGAUUCUGAAGCUAGAAGGGCAGCCGAAUGGCCUUCCCCCCGUCCUGCCCCUCGUCCACUGCUUUCAAAGACCCAGGAGCUGGAGAUUUAGGGAUGUGUCCAGGUUACCCUGGAAGAUCUGUGGGAUGAUGGAGCUUCUCUUCCUCUACACCUCUUUUGAGUCAUGUGAAAAAGCCAAGUAUCUUGCUUCUAAAUUCAUAUGUUUUUGAGAAACCUACAAAGAGAUCUGCACAAGAGAGAAAGUGAAAAUUUCACUCCAAGAUUUCUUCCCUUGGCAAACAACAGAAGGUUUAGGACAAGCCUUUUCUCUAAGUGCCUGUUGCUUUGUUAGCUCUGUUUUCCAAAGACAUCUGUGUUGUGGAUCUGGUCAGAAAGAGUGGGAAUUCAGUGACUUUACUAGUUCUGGAUGGGGAUUCCUAUGAGAAAGCAGUGAAAACACGGGUGGACUUGAAAGAGUUGGGUCAAAGUCAGAAGGAGCAAGGUUUGAGUGAUAAUAUACUUUCCCCUGUGAUGAAUGGAGGUGUGC